Molecule: small nucleolar RNA, 84 nt
Organism: Alligator mississippiensis (American alligator)
Lineage: Eukaryota; Metazoa; Chordata; Crocodylia; Alligatoridae
Rfam family: Small nucleolar RNA U2-19
About the family: U2-19 is a member of the C/D class of snoRNA which contain the C (UGAUGA) and D (CUGA) box motifs.
Source: Rfam
GAUCUGUGAUAAGAAACAGCGAAAUCUAAGCACCAGAAAAUCAGCUGAUCUACAUGGUGUUUUGAUUUGUGUACGGUUCUGGGA